Musa acuminata AAA Group (dessert banana) is the source of this 2318-nucleotide long non-coding RNA. RefSeq lists it as uncharacterized. The transcript has 4 exons. The record is from RefSeq and is a predicted model, not a curated record. NCBI's taxonomy places the organism in Eukaryota, Viridiplantae, Streptophyta, Magnoliopsida, Zingiberales, Musaceae.
UCUCCCUCGAGAGGGACAACCACCGUCGCUCCCAAACGCACGUCGACGGAUGGAGCGCGCCAUUUCCCGGUCCUCGCCGCUCGCGAGCAGCCGACCACCAUCCCUCGGCGUCGGCGGAGAGCAGCCGCCUGGAGGAGCUGACGGCGCGGCCGGGCGUAGGCGGUCCCGCGGGGCGCGAGGGGAGGCCUGGUUCAAGGCCCUCCGCCAGGUCAAGAACGAGUUCAUCGGUAACAAGACCAAGAAGCCCGCCCUCCUCCGCAGCGAACGGCCGCGGCGACGCUGCCGUCAUCGUGCAAGCGGCCGCCGGCAUCCUUUUCCAUUCCGAUGAUAAGAACCUAAGUGAAGGCUAUUUUUACAGUGAGGCAGUUAUUGGUAACGUGGUCUGACUUUUAUGAGACUCAUCUACAUCGGUUCAGGUAAGUUUGUCUACAUGGACAAUAAAUUUCACUUGUAUUAGAAGUUAGUCUGGCCUCCCUUAUCUUGCCCCGAUGUUGUCACAAAGAACUUGCAAAUUUUUUGGGCAAUUUUUUAUCUUGAGGGAAGAAUGGGAUUGUGUAGGAAUAUAUCUGGAUCUUCAGAUAAGGUACACUGAUUAGGUUGCAAUAGAGCUUAAUAUAUCAUCAUUAAAUUAACAAGAAGCUGUAGGUCGAUAUUGGCAGAUUAAUAAGUUGAUGUUAUCAUCAUUAUAAAUGAUAAAAGUUCUUAGUUUAACUAAAUUUUUAGCUCCAUGUUUACUUGGUUCAAUAUCAAAGGAUGGUAUCUACAUGUUUAUUUGUUUUCCAUAUCGUGUCGCCAAUUCAUUAUUAUUAUUAUAUAAAAGAGAAGCAAGUGUCAUUUGAUUUUACGGAGGGAUAUAGUCCUACUGGUAUUGUGAUUUAUAAUACUAGUUUCUGCUGGUUUUUUGUUGUCAACAUCUCCAUAAUAUAUUUGUUGUACAUCUAAUAUUUUAUUGUGUACAAAAGUGGAUUAAAAUAGACCUGCAUUUCGUAACCUCUUGAUAAUUGUGAUGUGACUCUGUCAAUAAUGUAUCUCUAGAAGACAAUGUUUUUCUAAAUGUUGUUGUGAGACAGUUGCAGAAUGCAUCAUCUGUAGGAGUAUAUACUCAGGUGUGUGUUCAAUUGUGCCAUCUUUGUCUACUUUUAUAUAACUUCUGCCAAAUUCUUGCUGUUCUCUACCAUCCUGUGUUUUUUUCCUGCUUUUGACUCGGACAUAUCUUCACGCAUGAUCAUUAGUCGUGCAUCAGUGCUAGUGAAAUAAGAAUGUACUAACUUAUAAGUUGUCUAUAUUACUCUGCCAGCUUGAAGCUAUUACUAGAAACUCGUGGCCAAGUUGCUGGAUAUUACUCCCACCAGCUUGAAGUUAUUACUAAAAACUCAUGGCCAUACCUCGCUGAUGGUUUUUUAGACUAAUGGUGCAUAUAAAUUCAAAUAUUGCAUUCUCCUGGUAUUAAAGUUAAUGAACUUCCUCAGUUUUUCAUGUCUGGCAUUCUAAAUAGAGUUUGCAUCUCAGUAGAUUUGACAUCAGGUUUCAAAGAGUCGGAUUGUAAAAAAGCUUUGGAGAAAAAUAUGGACAAACAAUAAUAUAAAAUUCUGUAUUUAAAAUUUAUCUGAAUCUUUAGCCUUUUUUUGGUAAGUGAUGAUUCUGAUGUUCCAUCAAGAGAAAUUUCACCUAGAAGAUGACAUGCUUUGGCUUUGUUCAGACUUGAUUCAAAUGCAGUUGUUUUCAAGCAGAACUAAUGAUUUAUUAUUUGCUUAACAUAUAUGCUUUAUGAUAUAAAACUGUCUUUCAGGGAAUGAUUGUGCUCAAUAACAUUACGGCUGGAAGCAAGUCUGGGAAAGAGUGAUGAAUUAUCUUGUUCUGCCCUGAGAAGAUGCUAGUGCUGGUUUAUCCAGUAGGGUCGCAAGUUUCCAAGAAGCAGGGAUGAUUUUUCAGCUAAAAUUGAUGCUUAAUGAUCCCUACUCGGACUGCAAGCUUCAUGUGAGAGCCAUUAUCGAGCAGUGCAUCAGUAUCUUCUGCUUUUGGUGUUGUACACUUGCUUUUGAAUCCCCUCCAAUUGGAAUGCUGUUAAUUGCUUUGCAUUGACAGGUGAAUACACGUUAAAAUAUAUUCUUUCUAGGUUAUCCACUGCUUCGAGGAAUUGAGCGAUGCUCCUUGCGGAGAAAAAGCUGGUGGAUUUUCUUUUCUAUUUUUGUUGUUGUUGUUGUUGUUGUGAUACGCUGUCUAUCGUCACUUGAAAUGCUUUCGAUGAUCCGUUGUCUCUUUUUCUUUUUCAUGUACGAUAACACACUGUAAUGAAUGAAAUCGGAUGUUAAUUCGAA